UUGUGCCAGCAGCCGCGGUAAUUCCAGCACCAAUAGCGUAUAUUAAAGUUGUUGUGGUUAAAAAGCUCGUAGUUGAACCUUGGGCCUGGCUGGCCGGUCCGCCUCACCGCGUGCACUGGUCCGGCCGGGCCUUUCCCUCUGUGGAACCCCAUACCCUUCACUGGGCGUGGCGGGGAAACAGGACAUUUACUUUGAAAAAAUUAGAGUGCUCCAGGCAGGCCUAUGCUCGAAUACAUUAGCAUGGAAUAAUAAAAUAGGACGCGCGGUUCUAUUUUGUUGGUUUAUAGGACCGCCGUAAUGAUUAAUAGGGACAGUCGGGGGCAUCAGUAUUCAACUGUCAGAGGUGAAAUUCUUGGAUCAGUUGAAGACUAACUACUGCGAAAGCAUUUGCCAAGGAUGUUUUCAUUAAUCAGGAACGAAAGUUAGGGGAUCGAAGACGAUCAGAUACCGUCGUAGUCUUAACCAUAAACUAUGCCGACUAGGGAUCGGACGGUGUUAUUCAUGACCCGUUCGGCACCUUACGAGAAAUCAAAGUGCUUGGGCUCCAGGGGGAGUAUGGUCGCAAGGCUGAAACUUAAAGAAAUUGACGGAAGGGCACCACCAGGGUGGAGCCUGCGGCUUAAUUUGACUCAACACGGGGAAACUCACCAGGUCCAGACACAUAAGGAUUGACAGAUUGAGAGCUCUUUCUUGAUUUUGUGGGUGGUGUGCAUGCCGUUCUUAGUUGGUGGGGUGACUUGUCUGCUUAAUUGCGAUAACGAACGAGAC
Molecule: ribosomal RNA, 768 nt
Filed under: uncultured fungus
Lineage: Eukaryota; Fungi
Description: SSU rRNA
Rfam family: Eukaryotic small subunit ribosomal RNA
Source: RNAcentral